Molecule: transfer RNA, 63 nt
Filed under: Rattus norvegicus (Norway rat)
Lineage: Eukaryota; Metazoa; Chordata; Mammalia; Rodentia; Muridae
Rfam family: tRNA
About the family: Transfer RNA (tRNA) molecules are approximately 80 nucleotides in length.
Source: Rfam by way of RNAcentral
GGGGACUUAGCUCAGUGGUAGAGCGCUUGCCUAGCAAGUGCAAGGCCCUGAGUUCGGUCCCCA